AAGGUUCCCUUGUCAGAGAAUAAUUGGCCACAAACUGAGCAUGAAAACGGUUUCUCACCAGUGUGGAUUCUUGUAUGACUUUUUAAGUUUCCCCUAUGAGAGAAUUUCUGGCCACAAACAGAGCAUGAAAAAGGUUUCUCACCAGUGUGGAUUCUUGUGUGCAUUUUUAAAUGUUCCCUCCGUGAGAAUCUUUGGCCACAAUCUGAGCAUGAAAAAGGUUUCUCGCCAGUGUGGAUUUUUGUGUGCUUAUUUAAAUUUCCCCUCUGAGAGAAUUUU
Syngnathus acus (greater pipefish) is the source of this 276-nucleotide long non-coding RNA. RefSeq lists it as uncharacterized. The transcript is spliced from 3 exons. The record is from RefSeq and is a predicted model, not a curated record. NCBI's taxonomy places the organism in Eukaryota, Metazoa, Chordata, Actinopteri, Syngnathiformes, Syngnathidae.